AGAGCGAACGCUGGCGGCAGGCCUAACACAUGCAAGUCGAGCGCCCGUAGCAAUACGGGAGCGGCAGACGGGAUAGUAACACGUGGGAACGCGCCCUUCGGUUCGGAAUAACUCAGGGAAACUUGAGCUAAUACCGAAUACGCCCUUACGGGGAAAGAUUUAUUGCCGAAGGAACGGCCCGCGUCCGAUUAGCUAGUUGGUGAGGUAAUGGCUCACCAAGGCUACGAUCGGUAGCUGGUCUGAGAGGAUGACCAGCAUCACUGGGACUGAGACACGGCCCAGACUCCUACGGGAGGCAGCAGUGGGGAAUAUGGACAAUGGGCGCAAGCCUGAUCCAGUCAUGCCGCGUGGAUGAUGAAGGCCUUAGGGUUGUAAAGUCCUUUUAACGGGGAAGAUAAUGACGGUACCCGUAGAAUAAGCCCCGGCUAACUUCGUGCCAGCAGCCGC
Molecule: ribosomal RNA, 447 nt
Filed under: uncultured bacterium
Lineage: Bacteria
Description: SSU rRNA
Rfam family: Bacterial small subunit ribosomal RNA
Source: RNAcentral